This 914-nucleotide ribosomal RNA is filed under the name uncultured archaeon. RNAcentral describes it as "bacterial SSU rRNA". It matches the Rfam family "Archaeal small subunit ribosomal RNA", at positions 1 to 922 of the family's 1478-position model. The record is from RNAcentral.
UUCCGGUUGAUCCCGCCGGACCUGACUGCUAUCGGAUUGAUACUAAGCCAUGCGAGUUAUUGUAGCAAUACAAGGCAGACGGCUCAGUAACGCGUAGUCAACCUAACCUAUGGACGGGAAUAACCUCGGGAAACUGAGAAUAAUGCCCGAUAGAACACUAUGCCUGGAAUGGUUUGUGUUCAAAAUGAUUUAUCGCCGUAGGGUGGGACUGCGGCCUAUCAGUUUGUUGGUGAGGUAAUGGCCCACCAAGACUAUUACAGGUACGGGCUCUGAGAGGAGUGGCCCGGAGAUGGGUACUGAGACACGGACCCAGGCCCUAUGGGGCGCAGCAGGCGAGAAAACUUUGCAAUGUGCGAAAGCACGACAAGGUUAAUCCGAGUGGUUUCUGCUAAAGGAACCUUUUGUCGGUCCUAGAAACACCGAUGAAUAAGGGGUGGGCAAGUUCUGGUGUCAGCCGCCGCGGUAAAACCAGCACCUCAAGUGGUCAGGAUGAUUAUUGGGCCUAAAGCAUCCGUAGCCUGCUUUGUUAGUUUUCGGUUAAAUCUGUACGCUCAACGUACAGGCUGCCGGAAAUACUGCAAAGCUAGGGAGUGGGAGAGGUAGACGGUACUCGGUAGGAAGGGGUAAAAUCCUUUGAUCUAUUGAUGACCACCUGUGGCGAAGGCGGUCUACCAGAACACGUCCGACGGUGAGGGAUGAAAGCUGGGGGAGCAAACCGGAUUAGAUACCCGGGUAGUCCCAGCUGUAAACCAUGCAAACUCAGUGAUGCAUUGGCUUGUGGCCAAUGCAGUGCUGCAGGGAAGCCGUUAAGUUUGCCGCCUGGGAAGUACGUACGCAAGUAUGAAACUUAAAGGAAUUGGCGGGGGAGCACCACAAGGGGUGAAGCCUGCGGUUCAAUUGGAGUCAACGCCGGG